UAGGGAAUCUUCCGCAAUGGGCGAAAGCCUGACGGAGCAACGCCGCGUGAGUGAUGAAGGUCUUCGGAUCGUAAAACUCUGUUAUUAGGGAAGAACAAAUGUGUAAGUAACUAUGCACGUCUUGACGGUACCUAAUCAGAAAGCCACGGCUAACUACGUGCCAGCAGCCGCGGUAAUACGUAGGUGGCAAGCGUUAUCCGGAAUUAUUUGGCGUAAAGCGCGCGUAGGCGGUUUUUUAAGUCUGAUGUGAAAGCCCACGGCUCAACCGUGGAGGGUCAUUGGAAACUGGAAAACUUGAGUGCAGAAGAGGAAAGUGGAAUUCCAUGUGUAGCGGUGAAAUGCGCAGAGAUAUGGAGGAACACCAGUGGCGAAGGCGACUUUCUGGUCUGUAACUGACGCUGAUGUGCGAAAGCGUGGGGAUCAAACAGG
This 429-nucleotide ribosomal RNA is filed under the name Actinomycetes bacterium. RNAcentral's name for it is "Actinobacteria bacterium partial 16S ribosomal RNA". It matches the Rfam family "Bacterial small subunit ribosomal RNA", at positions 355 to 776 of the family's 1533-position model. The record is from RNAcentral. Lineage: Bacteria; Bacillati; Actinomycetota; Actinomycetes. RNAcentral also lists the same sequence under 1 other name.